Molecule: transfer RNA, 87 nt
Filed under: Pseudomonadota bacterium
Lineage: Bacteria; Pseudomonadati; Pseudomonadota
Also listed under: 1 other name
Description: tRNA-Leu
Rfam family: tRNA
About the family: Transfer RNA (tRNA) molecules are approximately 80 nucleotides in length.
Source: RNAcentral
GCCGAAGUGGCGGAAUGGCAUACGCGGUGGUCUCAAAAACCACUGGAGGUUUGCUCCUUGUGGGUUCGACUCCCACCUUCGGCACCA